GAAAUUGGUUCAGGAAGGACGGGUGAUGAAUACAGGAGGUGGAGAGAUCACGGUUGUUGUUUGGUGGAGUCAGACAAAGCAACAGUCUUCCACUAAAGGCAAGCAAUGAGCCCUACAAUGACAGAGGAAGAGGAAGACUGGAAUGAAGGGGAUCAAAGGAAAUGCAGAGAUGUAUGAUGAUGUUGAACUGAAACAACCCUCAAAACAUCCAUCUGCCACCUCCCAACUGAAUCAGUCCUCUAACAAUAUUUCUGUGGCCCCUGCUCUUCCUGCCCGACCAAGUGUGAAAGCGAGUGGAGAGCGCAAGUCAAUGCCCAAAGCAGAUGAUCUUUACGAUGAUACCGGAGUUCAGGACCUCAGUGCUGAUGAGAAUGACGAAGACUAUGAUGAUGUUUUACCUUUGGAGAUGGCUUUGCAACACCAAAAGCAAGAGCAAAAGCAAAAGUCAUGGCUUCCGUUCCGAUUAAGCAAGAAGGAUAGCAAGAAGCCUUUUAAGAAAGUUGAGGAAAGUAAAGAGCGACAAUCUUCAGCAAAGGCCUCCCCCGAAGGUAACGUAUCAACAUUUUCCUCCCCAGAACAUCAGUUGCAAACUCAGUACCACUGGCUUCUCUCUCUACAACAUUCUAAUGUUGCACUCUCAGAUGACAGUAUAAUUUGUCACUUAACACACCACAAUCAAACCACAAGCUCUUUGACCCACGAUGGAGGUCCUUUUAUCGAUUAUGAUUUUGUCUCCAAACAGUGGUUACAAAUGCAUGUUUGUACAAGUAAUAGUUUGUUUGGGUGACGGCUUGCUCGCUCGUUCGUUUUCACUUCUGUUCAUUGUGGUUUGCACUUGUUAUCCAGACUUGAUGAGUGGUGCCAAGGGAGAUCAUACAUGUCCUUUUAUCCCAGCUUGCCAAAUUGAUUGCUUGUUUUCCGAGAUUGGAACUCGGCCAUACUUGCGCUGAAGAAGCCAAGUUCAAUUGCUAAUCAAUCCUCCACUUGUAGAUGGCGAAGACAUAUAUGAUGACGUGGAUCAGGAAAUUGAAGAGAGUCCAGUCAGGUGAGAGAAUUAAUUGUUUUGAACUUCGUUGAUUUGCAACUUUGGUUUGUAAUGAAAUUUUGGAAUGUUUGCAGUGUAGUUUGGCUUUUUCACAUCUGCAUUGUAUCCUCAUUGUUUGCAAAAUGCGUAACAUUGGCUAUGGUUAUUAGAUCAAUCAUGUGGUACUGGAUUAUAUAACAAUGUUUUUGAAUUAAAUGUUUUUUUUUUUCAGUUCAAAAAAAAUGGAAAAGGAGAAAGAGGAAAAGGGGAGGAAAUUCAAGGUGAGGUCCAUUAUAUUAGGAUUUAAUCGUACUUACCUUAAAAGUGCCAAUAUAAUCAUGAAUUUAAUUUGCCAAUAUAAACAUGAAUAAUAAAAAGGGAGAUGUACCAAAGCAAUAUUACGGUAUACAUUUUCAUGUUUUCACGAGCAAAAGUAUUAACUCAUCAAAAGGCAAAUUUUGUUUUGCACGGUGGUCGUCAAGAAGCAUCGCUAACCCUCGGGGGAAUGGGGCG
This 1537-nucleotide long non-coding RNA is filed under the name Eptatretus burgeri (inshore hagfish). RNAcentral describes it as "lncRNA (ENSEBUG00000017450.1)". The record is from RNAcentral. Lineage: Eukaryota; Metazoa; Chordata; Myxini; Myxiniformes; Myxinidae.